GUUUCACAUUUUCAGGUUCCUUCCCUGCAACUUUGAAGAGGCAUGAAACAGACUUCUUAGGAAAAACACAUGCCGUGCCUCGUUCUCCACCCCUGCCUGAACAGUGGGGACCACUUCUUCAUUCGAUGAGUCCAAAGCAUCAGCUAGUCUGAGGUGUGAGAAAAUCAUGUAAAGUGCCUCUGCUGGUGGAUGCCUGUCAAAAGGAAACAACCCUGGUUUACCCAGAGAAUGUGGAAAGAUCUGAGACGCAAUUUUAAAAAAUCUCUUGAUGGAACAUACAUGCCUCUCCCUGAAGUGCUCCUUGUGCUCCUCGGCCUGAGCUGCAUCUUCUUUGGGAACGACAUGCAGUGAAGAACUUAAGGAUGGAUGGAAAGUGUCUGGAAGUGGAGUUUUAGCUAUAUGAAGGAAUCCUUUAUUGGAAGAAAGGUGGAGAAAGCCUGCACCUUCUGCAAUAUUUUCCCCAGCUACUCUCUUGCCACACUGAUUUGUGCCUGUAAUGGAUAUCUUGGGUGAAGGACUUCACCCUCUUCACCCAAGUCCAGCCGAUUUCCAGUAAGGUAUCAGUACACGUGCACAUGUACAUGCAAAGAGAGACAGUGAGUGCCUAUUCAUGUGUAUGGUUUACAUGACAGGUGGGUCAGAAGAGACAAACAUAGUCUGUCAUAAAGUAUAAUUACUCUAGGAAAAGAAAAGGUUAGUAUUAUCUGGUUGAUCUUUCUUUGCAUAUUUGUGUUAUUUCCAGCAUGUUAUGAGACAUUAGUGGGUUUUGACUAAUUGCUUUGUCCUCACUUACUCCGGUGUGACUCCAUCAGCUUCUCUGGUACUGAACCAAUAUACCUGAACACGCCACUAAACGAUUAUUGGUUCCCAUGCUUUGUUACACAGAUGUGACGCAGAGCAGAAGCAAGCUGACCCUGAGGCCAAACAUGUGGUGUGGUUACAAAGAUCAGUGAUGAGGACAGCACCCUCCAAUUACU
Long non-coding RNA from Chroicocephalus ridibundus (black-headed gull), 977 nucleotides. RefSeq lists it as uncharacterized. NCBI's taxonomy places the organism in Eukaryota, Metazoa, Chordata, Aves, Charadriiformes, Laridae. The transcript is spliced from 3 exons. The record is from RefSeq and is a predicted model, not a curated record.